Molecule: ribosomal RNA, 374 nt
Filed under: uncultured organism
Description: partial 16S ribosomal RNA
Rfam family: Bacterial small subunit ribosomal RNA
Source: RNAcentral
GUAGGUGGCAAGCGUUGUCCGGAAUUAUUGGGGCGUAAAGCGCGCGCAGGCGGUUCUUUAAGUCUGAUGUGAAAGCCCACGGGCUCAACCGUGGAGGGUCAUUGGAAACUGGAGAACUUGAGUACAGAAGAGGAAAGCGGAAUUCCACGUGUAGCGGUGAAAUGCGUAGAGAUGUGGAGGAACAUCAGUGGCGAAGGCGGCUUUCUGGUCUGUAACUGACGCUGAGGCGCGAAAGCGUGGGGAGCAAACAGGAUUAGAUACCCUGGUAGUCCACGCCGUAAACGAUGAGUGCUAAGUGUUAGGGGGUUUCCGCCCCUUAGUGCUGCAGCUAACGCAUUAAGCACUCCGCCUGGGGAGUACGGCCGCAAAGGCUG